Molecule: long non-coding RNA, 1778 nt
Organism: Ictalurus punctatus (channel catfish)
Lineage: Eukaryota; Metazoa; Chordata; Actinopteri; Siluriformes; Ictaluridae
Source: Ensembl
ACCUACCGUUUGUUUUUUUUUUUCUUCCAAUCACUGUGACAAGCUCUGAAAGGGUCAAAAUUCUCAGAGAUACACCAGUACUCGGCAACUGUCGAGCAACACAUGAUUUCAUGGAGAUGCUAGUGACCCUGAUCCUUUCUGCUCUCCGGACCUGCCCGAUCCGUCCGGACGCCUUUCCUCUAGAUGGAGCUCUCACCAACUCCAAGUCCACAUGGACGUUCUCGCUGUGGUUGCUGGGACUACGGUUGCUGCGAUGGCCUCGGGACUCUGCGACUACAACAUGCUGUUUUACACUCGCGUCUCCUUUAGUGAACAGUGCAUUAGUUCGACAGACAGACUUCAUGUUAAGGAAAACUGGUUACUGGACUGUCCAUCCCAGUGGCUUGUCUAGCUCUACUCUCAACCAGUAGCACACAAAGGCUCAGGACAGGACACAGCGCAGUGUGAUUCCAUUCAGAGUGACAUCAAGCCGAAUCCAGACGUCCUCAGGCAUUUUCCCCACUGCUUGUCGUGAACAGCACUGCGGUCAAAAGCAGCGUGUUUGCCCUGCCAGAUCUGCUCUGAUCCGGUGUGAUGGCUGUACAUCUCUCAGAUCUUGCUCCGUCUUGCUUUCACCUGGCUGACAGAGAACUCUGAGACUUUCACUGCGCCUAUUAUUUAUGACGACGGUUUUGCAAGCUCGCAAGUACGUGCCAAGCGUUAUUCAGCUAAUUGCCUCAAGGUUAAGCCAGGUGGCAUGUGCGUACAGCGUUUCUCAAGGUGUCAUCACCGAGUCCUUAAUAACAUCAAAAACGCUGACAGAAGAACUAAGAGUUCGGGUUUUUAUUUUUUUAUUUUCUUUCCUCGUGUUUUUUCCCCUCUGCUCCUCAUCUCUCUACCCGGUGAUGACAUUUUUACACCGCAGCCCGUUAACGUUUGAUUUACAUUCAUACUUCACUUUUAGAAGGUAUUAUUCCAUAGAUCAUGCCAUUGGUGGUGGUGUUUUUUUGGUUUUUUUUUUUAAACACACACUGUCUAAAUUGCUAAGAGUACUCUGCGCUAAAAGUGACAUUAAAAGCGACGCCAUCUCUGAUUUAUUGAACCUAAAUAAAAAAAUAAAUAGCAUAGGCGUUUACCUGCAGCACUCAAGGCUCAUCUUUACCUUCUUGUAAUAUGCUUAUUUUAUCGACGUACAUACACAAAAGCCAUGCAUGUUUCCUAGUUUACAAAUGCAUGUAGUCACAAGUUCAGUAGACAUGUGCUGCAAGAUCGGAUUCCAGACAGAAAGAUCGGUAUCUCAGAGAGUGUUCACGCAUGCAGAGUUUAGUCAGUUUGAAUGAAACCCCGCCGUGCGUUUUUUUUCUGCAGGUGAGAAAGCGGAAAGAACAGUCAGGUGUGGAACAAAACAACCGGUCCGAGAGCGUCUGAGCGAGGUGACCGUGACUGCAGUGAGAAAGUGAUUCGAGUGCAGAAUGAGUCAACUCAACUGCAGGAAGUGACUCAAACACGCGGCGUUCUUUGUAGACGUGGGUACAAACUGAUCCAAAGAACGGAGCCGUAGAGCUGCAGACGUGACAUUUGUUCUGGAUAUAUGGACUAACAAGCAAACAAACAAACAACUCUAGCUGUGAUGCACAAAAUGGUUUCAAAUACUUACUUAUAUAACGACGUUUAUUCAGCACCGGAUCCGUAUCCUCUGUCCAACAUAACGCCAGUUUUCGAAGGUUUGUUUGCCGUCUUUUCCAGUCGCUGUAUUCCUGACCAAUAAAAUAAGAGUUUUAAAAUGCCAUGUACACACA